Molecule: ribosomal RNA, 524 nt
Filed under: unidentified oral bacterium AP60-20
Lineage: Bacteria
Description: bacterial SSU rRNA
Rfam family: Bacterial small subunit ribosomal RNA
Source: RNAcentral
AGAGUUUGAUCCUGGCUCAGAACGAACGCUGGCGGCGCGUCUUAAGCAUGCAAGUCGAACGGCAAGAUACCUUCGGGUAUCCUAGAGUGGCGGACUGGUGAGUAACGCGUGGAUGACGUACCCUCGUGACGGGGAUAGCCGGUAGAAAUACCGGGUAAUACCGGAUAAGGUCUCACGGAAUAAAGGCGUGAGAGGAAAGCAGCGUAUGCUGCGCAGGAGGAACGGUCUGCGGCCUAUCAGCUGGUUGGCAGGGUAAAAGCCUACCAAGGCGACGACGGGUAUCCGGCCUGAGAGGGUGGACGGACACAUUGGGACUGAGAUACGGCCCAGACUCCUACGGGAGGCAGCAGCUAAGAAUAUUCCGCAAUGGGGGGAACCCUGACGGAGCGACGCCGCGUGGACGAUGAAGGUCGGAAGAUUGUAAAGUCCUUUUAUACAUGAAGAAGAAGUUAUACAGGAAAUGGUAUGAUGGUGACGGUAGUGUAUGAAUAAGCACCGGCUAAUUACGUGCCAGCAGCCGCGGU